CCUACGGGAGGCAGCAGUAAGGAAUAUUGGUCAAUGGACGAAAGUCUGAACCAGCCAUGCCGCGUGAAGGAUGAAGGCCCUCUGGGUUGUAAACUUCUUUUAUCUGGGACGAAAAAAGCUCAUUCUUGAGCACUUGACGGUACCAGAGGAAUAAGCACCGGCUAACUCCGUGCCAGCAGCCGCGGUAAUACGGAGGGUGCAAGCGUUAUCCGGAUUCACUGGGUUUAAAGGGUGCGUAGGUGGGUCUGUAAGUCAGUGGUGAAAUCUCCGAGCUUAACUCGGAAACUGCCAUUGAUACUAUAGGUCUUGAAUCAUCUGGAGGUAAGCGGAAUAUGUCAUGUAGCGGUGAAAUGCUUAGAUAUGACAUAGAACACCAAUUGCGAAGGCAGCUUACUACGGGUGUAUUGACACUGAGGCACGAAAGCGUGGGGAUCAAACAGGAUUAGAUACCCUGGUAGUCCACGCCCUAAACGAUGGAUACUCGACAUCAGCGAUACACUGUUGGUGUCUGAGCGAAAGCAUUAAGUAUCCCACCUGGGAAGUACGACCGCAAGGUUGAAACUUAAAGAGUAGUAGCGUGAGAGAGACGACGACGACGACGAGGAGGAGGAGG
This 613-nucleotide ribosomal RNA is filed under the name uncultured bacterium. Its description in RNAcentral is "bacterial SSU rRNA". It matches the Rfam family "Bacterial small subunit ribosomal RNA", at positions 338 to 944 of the family's 1533-position model. The record is from RNAcentral.